Gossypium arboreum is the source of this 107-nucleotide non-coding RNA. The record is from Rfam. Lineage: Eukaryota; Viridiplantae; Streptophyta; Magnoliopsida; Malvales; Malvaceae.
AACCCGUGGGGAGGGCAUCUUCUUAAUAAAUCUUUGUAUCUCUCUCAUGCAUCAUAUAAUGUCUCUAAAUUGAUCUAUACAAAGGAAGAGAUGUUGUUCCUUAACUU